ACGAACGCUGGCGGCGUGCUUAACACAUGCAAGUCGAGCGGUAAGGCCCUUUCGGGGGUACACGAGCGGCGAACGGGUGAGUAACACGUGGGUGACCUGCCCUCAGCUCUGGGAUAAGCCUGGGAAACCGGGUCUAAUACUGGAUAUGACUCCAUGACGCAUGUUGUGGGGUGGAAAGCCUUGUGCGGCUGAGGAUGGGCCCGCGGCCUAUCAGCUUGUUGGUGGGGUGAGGCCUACCAAGGCGACGACGGGUAGCCGGCCUGAGAGGGCGACCGGCCACACUGGGACUGAGACACGGCCCAGACUCCUACGGGAGGCAGCAGUGGGGAAUCUUGCGCAAUGGGCGAAAGCCUGACGCAGCGACGCCGCGUGAGGG
RNAcentral lists this ribosomal RNA (376 nucleotides) under uncultured bacterium. RNAcentral describes it as "bacterial SSU rRNA". It matches the Rfam family "Bacterial small subunit ribosomal RNA", at positions 29 to 407 of the family's 1533-position model. The record is from RNAcentral.